UAAUUCUGCCCUUGGAAAAACUGCCUCAACCGUUAGUCUCACCUGACCGUGCAGAGUGCAGAAAAUGGCGUCCCUGCUACCUGAACUUUAACUACUACCCAACCAAGAUAUAAAAUCAUAUGUUGUAAAGUGCUCUUUUUUCAAGAGUAGAGUCAAAAAUUGUAUUGUUCUUUCUCUAUAGAGAGCAAUGGUCAAGGAACUGAAAAGUAAAUUGCACGGCAAAAGAAUUGGGAUUUUAAUUGAAGCGUGCUUACAUGAGGUAUAAGAGGUGGCCAAAAGAGAUUACUUAGUAAUUUAGAUAGAGAUAUAGAAGCUAUAUAUAUAUACUCUGCACAGAGACGUACGAGUUUACGUUUAGAUUAAAAUGAUUAAUUUAAUAUAAAAAACUAAGUACUUUUUAAAACACGAGCAGGAGUGCUUUAUCAGAUAUAAAACAUGAAAGCGUAGCUCGAGUGUUUUAUAUCUGAUAAAGCACGGACUGCGCGAAUGUCAAACACUCAUUAAUAAUUCAUAAGCUUAAUUAUUUGCAAAUCAUGUCAACCAUAAUAUGUCACGUGCAGUGGCUUUAAACCUGAUAAUACACUCCUAAAUAAUUAGUAUUCUUUAUAUAAAGAAUACUAAUAAGGUGGUAUCUAUUGCAGUCGUGUCCUCAUUAGUAUUCUUUAUACAAAGAAUACUAAUAAGGCAGUAUAUUUAUAUUGAAUUUGUAGUCGUGUUUGAAGUACUAUUUAAAAAACGAGCAGGAGUGUUUUAUUAGGUUUAAAGCCACGAGCGCGCAGCGCGAGUGGCUUUAGACCUAAUAAAACACGACCUGCGAGUUUUUUAAAUGACUUCAAAAACGUUUGCAUAAUAAGUCAAAUCUUUAUAUAAAAAUCUUUAUAUAAAAAUCUUUAUAUAAAAAUCUUUAUAUAGUUUGCAUAACAAUGGUCUUUUGUUAAAGUGUUCUUUAGCUGAUAUAAAGACGUAUGCACGUGACUAAUUUCUUACUCAAGAUUGGAUAAUUGCUUCAUGAAUUAUUAAUGAGGUUUUGAAGUACUAUUUAAAAAACGAGCAGGAGUGUUUUAUUAGGUCUAAAGCCACUCGCCCUGCGCGCUCGUGGCUUUAAACCUAAUAAAACACUCCUGCUCGUUUAAUUAAACAGUACAACAAACGACCCAUCUGAUGAGUUCAUUGGCGAAGUAAUUUUAAAGUAUGGACGCUUGGUAGUAUAAAAUCAUGUCCUCCGUUUCGUAGUUUCCUCUUCCGCUUAUCAGGUAAUAAGACACGAAGGCAAUACUCAGGAUUUGUUACAAUUUUCCCCAUAAAGUAUUAUCUCUUUCCUCAAGUUAGUUCACUCUGGAAAUAUCCAUAGUACUUACUAUUAUGUAUAAUCUAGAACUCGCCUUAACUCAACAUUAAGUCAAAUUGAGUUUCCUAAUUAUUAGAGUCUUUACCAAGUGCAAGUUAGAAUAGUUCAAUGUUGUAACACUGUAUCUGCAUAACUCAAAUUAUUAAAGUGGAAGUCAAGUCUGUUCUGCGCAUCGUUUCUGCUCAUAACAAUGUGAGGACCUCUAAUGUAAACAUUGCCUAAAUUUCGAAUGUUUCGAAUUUUUCUGAACAUAAACUCUAUUUCAUAUUCAUUUAGAAGCAUAGCGAACCAAAAUGGUGUUAGAUAUUCAGACAGUACAUUAUAUUUUAAAAAAUACAGCAGUACAAAAUGUAAACAAACCGUUUGUUUACAUUACGGACUUGACUUCCACUUUAAGGAGGAAAUUUUGAGCACAAACUGUACACAAAUUUUGAGCGAAGUGCCACUAAGCCCUCUACCUCGAACCUGCGGCCCUGCGAAUCCGGCACUUCACUCUCUUUUUUUCGACCAUACACGAAACGGAAUAUCGAGAUAGCAUGACAUCUGGACAACUUUCUUUCCAGAAUGAAAAAGAUACGAGGAUAUGAUUUUGUCGACAUGAUCAAAUAACAAACGCGAUUUUCUUGUUUCUCUGCUACUAUAUACAAGUGCUGCCAUUUUCUGCUACUAUAUACAAGCGCUCCCAUAUGCCCCCUUAGUUCUUGGAAGCGUGACUUUAACCACUCAUGUGCAAGACGUAUCUAUAUAGAUUUAUUCAAUACGAUUAAUCGAUGCAGGUUGAUGAAGAUUAAUCGAUUACGACCCAAUGGGAGCGGCUCUGAUAUAAUCUCAAAUUAACCGAUAUUCUUUAUUAAUUAUAGCAAAAAAGUAUGAGACCUACAAUUGAAUACUUGAUGAAGACUCUUAAUGAAAUUGGUGGUGAUGAGGGAUGGUGGCCAGUUUGUUCCAAUGCGCUUGGAUUGUAGUAAUUAUAACUUAUUUUGAAAACAGGUCGGAAUUUUGUCAUCGUAAUUUUAAAUGAAUUUUAUGUAGCGAUAGCCUUUUUAAACAAGUAUAAUUCUAUGUAGUUGCUCUUGUGUUAAAUGUAUAGUAUAUGGUCCUUCAGCUCCAACUCUGCCCCCAAAGUUGGCCUAAAUUGCAUGUAAUUACAGUCGAUUUCACAUAACAUUUGCCAAAAUAUUCUGAAUUUCGUUUCAAAGUUCGGAGUACAGAGCCUGGAAGUAGAAGCCUGGCUUGCGAGGUUUUUGAUUGGCUUCUUGCAAUUCAUGGACCAAUUAGAGGCUUUGUUUACAGACGGCUUGUGAAUUUCAACACUGAACUUUCGAACUUCAAAACGAAUUUUGCGAACUUCGGAACGAAGUUUGGAACAAUUCCGCAAACGUUUUGCGAAAUCGACUGUAACAUGACCCAACCAAACCCCUUAUUUGUUGCAUGUAAGCUGUUAGCGCGUGCGCAGACAAAAUUGCGACCUGUUUGUUAGGAUAUUGUAUCCUAUAUAUAUACAUGAUCAUGGAAAAGAUGCAAGGGGUUGAUUGUACGAAUAUUAUGCCGGAUAGCGCUAUCCAUGCACCAGAUAGAUUUUUCAACCGUUACAAAAAUGCCUAAAAAGCUAUAAAAUUACGGAUUUAUGGACGUCAUAAUUAGCAGAAACUUUAAAUUGUAAAUGCUAAAGUUUAAUACAGGUUAUAUCAAUCAGCGACAAUUUUUAGCAAGCUUGAAAGAAUCGCUAUAUCCAGUGGAUAGUACUAUCCGGUUAACCCAUGCAUGCAGAUCGUUAAAUUUUAUAACAAUAGAAUUGAUGUUAAUUCGCAAUCAUAAAUAAUGUUUUUAGCCCGAGUCAGACUCGAGCUUAACGAGAAUCAUCAUUCUAGUGAUUGGCCAUUUUUGUUUUAUUGAUUAUUGUAUCGAUUGGUUGAAUAAGUGCUUGAUUGUUUAUUUGAUUGAUUAACUCAUUGGUGAUAAUGAUUAUUAUUGGGGUUUUUUCCCCGGGCAGCCCGGUUUUCCCCGAAUACAUAUACCGCACUGGGACCGGUUGUGUAAAAAUGGUAGUUACAGUUAACUAUAUAUAGCCUGUGUCAUGCACAUAACAUUACUGACGGUAAAGUAAGGUCUGUGAACUUUUGCGCGAUUGCUUGUUGCUAUUAAAUCCUGGUUUGGGGAUUUCAUUUAUUCAAAUUUGCAAUAAAUUCGUUCGCAUUAUCGAAAUUUGAGACAAUUCUAAGAAUCUUUUAUAGCUUUUGCACGAUUGUCCUAACAUUCGAAAUAUAUGUGAUUUUGAAUCUCUCUCCUCCGCAGAGGCUUUAGUUUUCUUAGGAUUUAAUAUUACGAUUAGAUACAUUUCACUACACUUUACAUGGCGGAUCUUACACGAGCGUAGCCGCUGGGCGAAGGAGCGCAGGCGGCAAAGGGAAAGGCGAGGCUUCGCGCCUUCAUAGCCAAUUAAAGCCUCUGCGGAGGAGAGAGAUUUUGAAUCAUGUGCUAUGGUUUAUGUAAAUUAAUCCUUGCGGAACUGGAAUUUUAUAUUUUUGUUAUUUUUUCAACCGUUACAAAAAUGCUUAAGGUGGCUCCCUAGCAAGCGCUAUCCAUGACCAUAACAAAAUACUAAAAUUUACCCAAACGCUAUAACACUUUUUCCAUAUUUGAAAUGGCUAUAUGUAUGUACUAUGAGUUUUAAAAGUUUUGAAUGAAUUUCAUACAUGCAGCAUUUCUGUAUUUAUACAACCGGUCCCUGUGUUAGAAAAUAUAAAAAUACAUUAUUAAGUUAAAUAGAACUAUAAACAUGCAACUAUUGGUUAAUUAAUUAGCAUUUUGAAUGAAAAUUGAUAGAAUUAGUAUUGUCUUUGACGUUCUUUAAGUGACGUUAUAUAUUAAGUGACAUAAUUAACAACGAUGGUUUUAGUUGUAAAAAUAUUAUGUAAUUGUAAUGUAAUGAUGAUGUAAUAUAAUGCAGUGUAUGAAGGCAGUAAGAAAGGCUGAUAGAAAUAAUUGCCUUCCGAAUUUCGCUAAUGGCUAAAAAGGAUGGACGAGAGGGAGUUCAAAACUUAAACACAUGCAGAUGUAUAAGGUUUAAGAUUGUUAUAAGUGCAUGAUGGUUGAUUCUUUGGUGUUUUAACGAUCCUGAAAAACACCCGUCAUCUUGAAAACCUUGCUCUCGUCCAUACGAGAUCGGGGUUGUUGCUAAAAGCGGAUUUCCAUUCAGUGCAAAAUGUCGCACGAUCAAUUUUUGGCGAUCGCUUUCUUUUGAAAUGUAUGCAGUCUAUUACAGCUAAUGAGAUUUGUUCCGCUUGACUGUUUGUACAUGCAUGUAUUUCAAAAGAAAGCGAUCGCAAAAAGUCGAUCACGCAACAUUUUGCACUGAAUGGAAAUCUGCGCUUAGAAGCCCUGGGUACGAGGUUGCAACGACCCAUGCUUUUCGUCUGCAGUUAACUUGUUUUAGAAGGCAGCCGUUUAAAAGGGAUAUUUUCAAUAAAACUGCAAUAUUUUUGCGACCAUGGAUAAACAUGGGAUGGUUCGACAUUUGGCAGUUGUGGACAUUUCUCUCCUGUAGAAGACAGCCUUUAAUUCUUGCUGCCUUUUGCGCUAUUCAAACGAAUCGUGGAAACACUGUCUUAAAUUAUAGUCAAACUAUAAUAUACUCUUGUAUCCGUAAACGAUG
Paramuricea clavata is the source of this 5003-nucleotide non-coding RNA. The record is from the annotation of a GenBank genome assembly. Lineage: Eukaryota; Metazoa; Cnidaria; Anthozoa; Malacalcyonacea; Plexauridae.